GAUGAACGCUGGCGGCGUGCCUAAUACAUGCAAGUCGAGCGAACGGACGAUAAGCUUGCUUCUCUGAUGUUAGCGGCGGACGGGUGAGUACCUCGUGGAUAACCUACCUAUAAUUCUGGGAUAACUUCGGGAAACCGGAGCUAAUACCGGCUAAUAUUUUGAACCGCAUGGUUCAUUAGUGAAAGACGGUCUUGCUGUCACUUAUAGAUGGUUCCGCGCUGCAUUAGCUAGGUUGUAAGGUAACGGCUUAACAAGGCAACGAUGCAUAGCCGACCUGAGGGGGGGAUCGGCCACACUGGAACUGAGACACGGUCCAGACUCCUACGGGAGGCAGCAGAAGGGAAUGUUCCGCAAUGGGCGAAAGCCUGACGGAGCAAAGCCGCGUGAGGGAUGAAGGUCUUCGGAUCUUAAAAGUCUGUUAUUAGGGAAGAAGAAAUGUGGAAGGAACUGGGAACAGCUUGACGGUACCGAAACAGAAAGCAACGGCUAACUACGUG
Molecule: ribosomal RNA, 497 nt
Filed under: uncultured bacterium
Lineage: Bacteria
Description: partial 16S ribosomal RNA
Rfam family: Bacterial small subunit ribosomal RNA
Source: RNAcentral